GGGCAGGUAGCUCAGUCGGUACGAGCGUCCGCCUGAAAAGUGGAAGGUCGGCGGUUCGACCCCGCCCCUGCCCAC
This 75-nucleotide transfer RNA is filed under the name Nocardioides aquaticus. RNAcentral describes it as "tRNA-Phe". It matches the Rfam family "tRNA". Rfam says of the family: Transfer RNA (tRNA) molecules are approximately 80 nucleotides in length. Lineage: Bacteria; Bacillati; Actinomycetota; Actinomycetes; Propionibacteriales; Nocardioidaceae. The record is from RNAcentral. RNAcentral also lists the same sequence under 1 other name.